UUUCAGCUCAGUAAGGCUCCCAUUAAAUGUAUGGUCGGGCUUUAAAGCAGUUUAACCCCUAGUAAUUGCUGUCAAUAAAGCAAAGUCCUGACUAUAUAGUGUAAUGUUAAGCACAUGCGGCCAGAAUGUUAUAUAGUAAUCAGGCAAUGUAAGUCAGCGAUAAAUCUGAGCUAUUGGCAUUAUAACAGCGCCUAAUAAGGCCCUGGCAUGUAGGUCAGUAACAUAUCCCAUGUUUGGACCUGCCCCGGCUAGGCCUCACCAAACUCAUAAAAUGAAAAAGAAAAUAUAAAAGAAAUUAAAUAAAAGUAAGCCUUCAUA
This is a non-coding RNA of Pelobates cultripes (western spadefoot toad), 318 nucleotides long. The record is from the annotation of a GenBank genome assembly. Lineage: Eukaryota; Metazoa; Chordata; Amphibia; Anura; Pelobatidae.